This 468-nucleotide ribosomal RNA is filed under the name uncultured bacterium. Its description in RNAcentral is "partial 16S ribosomal RNA". It matches the Rfam family "Bacterial small subunit ribosomal RNA", at positions 28 to 507 of the family's 1533-position model. The record is from RNAcentral.
GACGAACGCUGGCGGCGUGCUUAACACAUGCAAGUCGAACGGAAAGGCCCUGCUUUUGUGGGGUGCUCGAGUGGCGAACGGGUGAGUAACACGUGAGUAACCUGCCCUUGACUUUGGGAUAACUUCAGGAAACUGGGGCUAAUACCGGAUAGGAGCUCCUGCUGCAUGGUGGGGGUUGGAAAGUUUCGGCGGUUGGGGAUGGACUCGCGGCUUAUCAGCUUGUUGGUGGGGUAGUGGCUUACCAAGGCUUUGACGGGUAGCCGGCCUGAGAGGGUGACCGGCCACAUUGGGACUGAGAUACGGCCCAGACGCCUACGGGAGGCAGCAGUGGGGAAUAUUGCACAAUGGGCGGAAGCCUGAUGCAGCAACGCCGCGUGCGGGAUGACGGCCUUCGGGUUGUAAACCGCUUUCGCCUGUGACGAAGCGUGAGUGACGGUAAUGGGUAGAGAAGCACCGGCUAACUACGUG